RNAcentral lists this ribosomal RNA (254 nucleotides) under uncultured bacterium. RNAcentral's name for it is "partial 16S ribosomal RNA". It matches the Rfam family "Bacterial small subunit ribosomal RNA", at positions 524 to 777 of the family's 1533-position model. The record is from RNAcentral.
UACGUAGGGUGCGAGCGUUGUCCGGAAUUAUUGGGUUUAAAGGGUCCGUAGGCGGUUUAAUAAGUCAGUGGUGAAAGCCCAUCGCUCAACGGUGGAACGGCCAUUGAUACUGUUAAACUUGAAUUAUUAGGAAGUAACUAGAAUAUGUAGUGUAGCGGUGAAAUGCUUAGAGAUUACAUGGAAUACCAAUUGCGAAGGCAGGUUACUACUAAUGGAUUGACGCUGAUGGACGAAAGCGUGGGUAGCGAACAGGA